This 1910-nucleotide long non-coding RNA is filed under the name Pan troglodytes (chimpanzee). RNAcentral's name for it is "lincRNA". The record is from RNAcentral. Lineage: Eukaryota; Metazoa; Chordata; Mammalia; Primates; Hominidae.
AACGGUGCCCGAGGGACUCGCGCUGCCCGUUAAGCAGCUUUGCGGUGGCGGAGGCUGGGCUGCCGUCUCUCCGACAUCCCGGGACAGAGGAAGAGAUGAAGGCUCUGCAGCCCCCGCCGCCCGAUUUACGCUUGAGAAAGCGAAGGCGAGAGAGGUCGUCCAGCCCCUGGGGGCCCAGCCCUAGAGAGCGGGGCGCGGGCUGCGGGGCCCGGCGGCCUGGACGGCGGAGCGUUGAAAGCUCCCCCAGGGAUAGGAAGUGCAGCCGAAAUCAACGACUGAGGGUCUGAGCACCUCCCUCAUGACCUCCCUCAUGCAGACAGAGCCCUGGCUCCCAUGUUCACCAUGCUGAGAAAGACCUGCGGGGGACAGCAGGAGGACAGCCGGGGAAUGGGCCCGCACUUGCCCAGAGGCAGAGCUCGUGCAUGCCCGACCUCGCUCCUCACGGCUCCCUGGGCAGCAGCGCCCUGGCAGUUGGAACUGGAAGGCUUAUCAGAGUCCACGCAGCCCCACCGCCCUCCCCACUCUCGGGGGGGGGGCAUCGGGGGACAGGGCCAGGGCAGGGAGGAAGACAGGGCCCGGCUCACCCCACAGCUCAGCCCAUGAGGGUGCGCAGAGCAGGGCUGGCAGGAGUGGGCCACUCCACACCCAGUCCUGUUGAAGAGAAAGAACAGAAAUAGGGAACAGAAAGUUGUCGAUUGCUGUGUAACAAAUCGCCCGCAGUUUAGCGCCUUCAAACAAACGUAACUCCACAGUGUCUGUGGGUCAGACAUCCAGGCCCGGUGAAGGGGCCUCUGCCUCAAGGUCCCUCCCGAGGCCUCAGUCAGGGCCCGGCCGGACUGUGAGUGGAUUGCACGCUCCGUGCGGGGAGGCUCGGCUUCUCUGCUGGCCCCGCGCCUGUGGGCGGGAUUCAGUUCCUCAUGGGCUAUUAGAGUGAGGGCCUCGAUCUUUUCUGCUGUUUGGCUGGAGGCCUCGCUCAGUUCUCUGCUGCACGGACCUUUCCUUGGCACAGCUCCCACAUAGCUGAGCAAGCCGCGAAGGCGGGCUCCUGCAGCCGAAGGGAAUUCUCCCCUCUUUCUGCUGUGUUCUGUUUGUGUAGGUUCAGCCCCGGGGAGGAGGUUCCACAGGACAGACAGACCAGGAGUUGGGGGAGUUGGGGGCGUUGAGGGCCAUCUCACAGGCUGCCCACCACAGCCCCCACGCAGCCACCUGUCUCUGUGUUCUUGCCACUGUCCCUACCCUCCAGGAGUGGGUCUGGUCUCAUCAGGGAGGGCAGCGCUCUCUUCACUCUGUCCUUACUCUGGUGUUUCACUGUGAUUUUAAAAACUGAAACUGCAAUUGUUACCCCUUGACAUAGCUGCACCCUGAGAGGGCCUCUGCGACGCCCCUCCUUCUCUUAAGCCUUUCCAAGCUGUCUGACGAUUUUUAAAUCCCAUUUCCUGAGUGACACAGAGCAUCUUUUCUUAAGCUUAUGAGUGACUUAUUUGUGUUUUCCUCAAAGCUAGAGGGGACCCCCAAUCUGUUUGUUUCCAGAGGCCCUGAUGGUAUCGUCUUGGGAGUGGAGGAACCUGAGGGAAAAGCCCAGGGGCGAGUCAGGGGAGAGCUCUGCCCUGGUGCCCUUGCACGUAUCCACAUGGGCCACAGCUGCACCCGGCUCUCAGCAGAGGGCAUCGCCAUGCUCCUGGGCACAGCCGGGCCCUCUCGCCUCCCUGCAGCUCCUGAUGCCUACCAGGCUCCGCUGAGGUCACCUUGGGCACUUAGCGUGGCUGCAGCUCUUUGCAGCCCCGUGUCCUGUCAUCCAUGUGGCCGUCAUGUGGUCACUUUUGGGCAUUGCCCUGCGCAAGGUCCAUGGGGACUGGGCACCUUUGGCCAUUCUUUCUUUGGUUGUCUGUGCAAGUAAUAAACUAAAUCUG